UACGAAGGGGGCUAGCGUUGUUCGGAAUUACUGGGCGUAAAGCGCGCGCAGGCGGUCUUCCAAGUCAGUGGUGAAAGCCUGGAGCUCAACUCCAGAACUGCCAUUGAAACUGUUAGACUUGAGUACGAGAGAGGUGAGUGGAAUUCCCAGUGUAGAGGUGAAAUUCGUAGAUAUUGGGAAGAACACCGGUGGCGAAGGCGGCGACCUGGUCCUUGACUGACGCUGAGGCGCGAAAGCGUGGGGAGCAAACAGG
Molecule: ribosomal RNA, 253 nt
Filed under: uncultured bacterium
Lineage: Bacteria
Description: partial 16S ribosomal RNA
Rfam family: Bacterial small subunit ribosomal RNA
Source: RNAcentral